AUGGGCGAUCUGAAGGAGAUGAAGUACAGGCGGAGGAUUGGGCUCCAGGAGCGCGCGCAAUGCAGCGACCAGAGGGCCGUCGACUGGGGCGUGCUCAAGCAGGACCCCGUGGAGCUGCUGCGCAAGCUGGACGAGCUGAGGGACCAAAUCACGCGGUCCUGCCAGGUCGCCGAGCAGCCACGGGAGCACCGUCGGGUGGGCCGCCGACCGCCCUCCUUGCUCCCCGACCUUCCCGAGCCGGUACCUCUACCCGGUUAUCACCGCCCACGCUAUGGUGCCCGGUAUGGGCAUGGCUUGCCGCUGAGCCCAUGUGAGCCGCAGCACUCUGAUCAUGGGGAGAGGUACGCGAGGCAGUCAAGUGGGCGGUAUCGCCAGUACCCAGGGAGGCAGUGGGACAACGGUGGGAUUGGACAUGGGAAUUACCAUCAGUAUGCGUGUGCUAGUCCGCAUUAUCUGCAUGGACAGAGGCCUGCGCCACAAGAAGAGCACAUACCGAUGGCCAGAUACUUCGCUGGGCAGCAUGAAUGCUACCGAUUUGAAAGGUCACCAUCUAUUUCAUCAGAUUAUGACCAAAGGUCUGUGGCAUCAUCGCUUUACUCGCAUCGCUCGGUAUCAAAGAAAAGGGCUGAGUAUUUUAGGAAGAAGGCAGAACAUCUCUGCCGGCCAAUGCAUGGCGCUGCGCCAUUUGUUGUUUGCAGUUCUUGUUAUAAUCUCUUGCAGCUGCCAAUGGAAAAAUGCAUGGGGUGGAAACAAAACAGGCUACAGUGUGGGUCUUGCUCUGAGAUAAUCAGUGUGAAGCGCAUGAAAGGAAAGGCUAUUCCCUACACAUCCUCACCGUCCUUCAGUUUGUCCAAAACUGAGCAAAGCUCACAUGAUCGAAUGAGACGAGAUUUUGAGCAUCAGCAUCAUGAUGAUGUCACUUCUGCGUUUUAUAAUUUGAAUGAGCACAGCAGCAUGCAAAUCAACAUAGAUUUUGGUGAUGAUAAUUCAGUUUCUUCCACCAUUAGUCAUGAAAGGACUGACAGAGAAUGUGGCUCAAACAGGAGCAUUCAAUCAAAAGCAGAUGGUAUCUCUCUGUCUCCAGGCAGGUCUGGAGAUAUUGAAAGCCCAAAGGAUAUAUUAUGUGAAAGAGAUGCAGAUUGUCAGGAGGAACAUUCAGUAGAUGGUCCAGUCAGCCCGUGUUCCCCAAUUUUAGAGGACAAACUUGUUGAUCCACUGUGCAGCCAAGAAAAACACAAUAGUUCAGAGGACUUAGGUAUGGAUAAUGGAUCUGACCUAAAUUGCAAAGGAGAAUACAAUGUUAAUGAUGAUGAGAGUGUCAGCAUGGGAAGUGAACAAAAGGUCAAUGAAGCUGAACUUGUAGAGGAAAGUAUGUGCAGAAAGCAUGAUCAAAAGAACAAGGAAGAUCACUGUUCUAGCCUUGAAGAUGUUAGCAAAAUGCAUGGGCAGAAUAGUACAAAAGUUGACCCUGAUAGUCUUGAGAAUGGAAAUGAAAAGCAUGAGUGGACAAGCAAAACCGAUGUCACAAGCAGUCCUGAAAGUGAAGGUAAAUGCAAGAAAUAUGACCAUAACAGCAAGGAAGAUGAAACAAGCGGUCUGAAAGUUGAGAACACAAGUAAUGAGUUUGACAAGAAGAACACAGCGGACAGCAGCAGUGCCCUCGAACAUGCGAACACUGCCAUUGAAUUUGAAGGUACAAGCACAAGUGAGAGAUAUGAAGAAAACCUAAUGGAACAAGAUAAUGGAAAAUUGCAUGAGCCAUGUGCUGAGGAUGCCAAUGCCCUAACGGAGAGUGGGUCAUCAGUUAAUGGGCGCACAAAUUCUGGUUUUUCUCAUGGUUCUUCUGAGGCUGGUUUAGAUGAAGAUCAAUCCUCAACUGGUAAGAGUGGGGAUUCAUCAUUUUUUGCUGGUUUCUUGAAGAAGGGAUUCAAGGACCUUUCUUUAUUUAACCAGUCCAUGGAUAGUGUUAAGGUUUCAAUCAAUGGCCAUCCAAUCUCUGAAAGAGCUCUUAAGAAGGCAGAAAAGAAAGCUGGUCCUGUUGAACCUGGCUCAUACUGGUAUGACUGCCGUGCUGGAUUUUGGGGCAUCAUGGGUAGAGAAUGUAUUGGCAUUAUUCCUCCAUAUAUAAGAGAAUUCAAUUAUCCAAUGCCCAGAAAUUGUGCUGGUGGAGACACUGAUGUCAUUGUCAAUGGCAGAGAACUUCAUCAGAGAGAUUUAGAUUUGCUUGUAGGAAGAGGACUUCCACGUAUCUCUGGCAAAUCAUAUUCCAUUGAGAUUUCUGGAAAUAUUACCGAUGAUGCUGGAAAUAAGCUACGCAGUCUUGGCAAACUUGCUCCCACAAUUGAGAAGCUGAAGCGUGGUUUUGGUAUGCACGUUCCUGAAGGGUUUAGGUAG
This 2394-nucleotide ribosomal RNA is filed under the name Triticum aestivum (bread wheat). Its description in RNAcentral is "partial small subunit ribosomal RNA". The record is from RNAcentral. Lineage: Eukaryota; Viridiplantae; Streptophyta; Magnoliopsida; Poales; Poaceae.